Molecule: long non-coding RNA, 440 nt
Organism: Cyprinus carpio carpio
Lineage: Eukaryota; Metazoa; Chordata; Actinopteri; Cypriniformes; Cyprinidae
Source: Ensembl
AGUUAUUGCUGAAACCUUCCUUGCAUGAACAUAAAUGAACAGCCUGUGUGAACUGCUGUAUGUGUCAUCAGCUGAAAAGGAAACUAGAAAGAUUACAGAAGAGGACGUUUUACAGGCUGGAAUCAUCUCCAUGAUUGAGUAAUGAUCAAUGGUCAUCUACUUUGUAAACGAUCAAUCAUUGUCCAAGUGCUGGUUGACAGCCACUGAUGGGAAACUCUCUUGGAGAUGGCAUUUGUGCAAUAGCACUGGAAACCUGAAAUCAAUAUCCGCUUUCAGGAGGCACACUGUGUUGAAAAUCCAUAAAGUGUAUUCUUGCUCAUGUCACACUGAAACCAGCAUUGCAGUGGAAGCACAAAAGAAGAGUUCAUUAGGAUAAAUGAUGGUGUUUUGAUGUAGAAAUUGAAUGUUGUGGAGUAACUCUCUACAAUAAAGUAAUAAGG